This 1189-nucleotide unclassified non-coding RNA is filed under the name Zea mays. RNAcentral describes it as "misc RNA Zm00001eb344030". The record is from RNAcentral. Lineage: Eukaryota; Viridiplantae; Streptophyta; Magnoliopsida; Poales; Poaceae.
CCAACGGCCUGCAGCGUCGAGAUCGUCGCCGUGCAGACCGUGCAGUGCGGCUCUGGCGCUCUGCGUUGGCGGGCUGCCGCGAGCUCCCAGUCCCACCGGCCACGAGCUCCCACCGGCUGUUUCCGAGAACCGACAGCCCCUCCCUCGAUCACCUCCCUGCUGCUGGCUGCUGCACACUGCCCCCGCGCUACGGUCCAAUUCGUACCCCCAUCAUAUAUAUCACGCCAGGCCGACCGACCACUGCGACAACUAUCCCACCCUGGCCGUGUCGGUCGUCGCCGUCGACCGUCGUUGAAGCCUUUGUGUGGCCGCACGGCCACACCGAUGCUGCAGAAGGAGCUUCCGCGGUGCGCGUGCGGCGACCGGAGCGCCGCGCCGCCGGCCUUCUCGCUGCUGUUCCCCAAGCCCAUGGGGCUGCCGGCGGAGCAGUGGUACUGCUACCACGAGGAGGGCGGCGCGUCGCCGUACGGCGCAGCCAGCACCCCGAUCGACUGCACGCUGUCGCUCGGCACGCCGUCCACGCGCCGGGCCGAAUCAGCCGGCGUCGGCGUCGCCGCCGCCUUGAUGGAGGAGCCCCGCCAAGGCUCUCCGCCCCGGCGGUGCGCCAACUGCGACACCACGUCGACGCCGCUGUGGCGGAACGGCCCGCGGGGACCCAAGUCGCUGUGCAACGCCUGCGGGAUCCGGUACAAGAAGGAGGAGCGCCGGCGACGUACGAGUGCGGCGGGUACGCUCGACCGCCGCGCGCCGCCGCAGCAGCAGUGGGGAUGCUACGGCCCGGGCGCGGGGAAGUCGGCGGCGUCCUACGGGAUGUACGAUGGCGACGUCGGCGUCGUGGCCGUGGACGGGCCCUGCCUGUCGUGGAUGCUCGAAGUCGUACCCUCCUCGCCGGCGUUCGCCGCCCGGGAGAGGCGCACUCUGUCCCCGUACUACUAGCAGCACUAGGCUACUGACAAGGGAGAUUAGUCUAGUAGCAGUGAUUUUGUUACUACUGCUUACAGUAUGUUUAUUAUAAUUAGCAAUCCGUUCAUCAAUGAGAUGUUCACAAAAAUGCAUCGUGCUACUGUACUGCUAGCCCGACUAGGCGACCACCAACGUGCAAUUUUGGACGCUGAAGUUCGCAUGUCAAAUUGCGUCUUCUUUAUCUACUGGUGUACUGUUGUAGAUUUGAUACAUGAUUUAUACCCUG